RNAcentral lists this small nuclear RNA (84 nucleotides) under Hucho hucho (huchen). Its description in RNAcentral is "Flavo-1 RNA (ENSHHUG00000019060.1)". It matches the Rfam family "Flavo-1 RNA". The record is from Rfam by way of RNAcentral. Lineage: Eukaryota; Metazoa; Chordata; Actinopteri; Salmoniformes; Salmonidae.
CCCUAGCCCUGAUAGAAGCGGCAUCCUUUUUUGAGGUGAUUUUUCUUCACCUCAAAAAAGAUAUAGCGGAUAGCAGGAUUAGCU